UUCAACGAAUAUCUGUGGUAGCUUUGGGCAAAGUAAUUUACCAUUUACUUUUGCCCUGCCUCCUAUAAUGGAUGCUUCAAGUCUGGUGCAACAAGAAAGAUGGAAAGGGUUGAAGGACAACUCAAAGCUCGUGGCUUAUGUUGAAAAGAAUGAAUGACCGUGGAAACUGAUGUGUUAAGCGGAAAAAGUUGCAUACUGUGAACUACCUCAAACCAGAUAUAAAACGAGGAUACCUCAGCAUGCAGAAGAUCGCACCAUUAUUCCAUGCUCUUCAUUGGAAACAAAUGCUGCAUGUCAUUCGCCCAAAAAAAAACAAUGAAAUGAAGAAUUAUUGGAACACCGACAAGAAAAGGCCGGCUUAUAAUUAGAAUGGGUGUAGAUUUCAUUGCCCACGUACCAAAAGUCAACACUUUUGAAGCCUGUCUGGUGAUGACAAGGAUGUCAUCAAUAUGUACCACAUGGCACAAUAGGAGAGUGCCUGAUUUGAGGUUGAAGGCAGAGAAAUCAUUUUGCAAGUUGUAUCUAACUCCUUUGUUCCCCCAAUUCAUUAGAUUCACCAUCAAUCAAACACAACAAUGCAGUGUAUAACAUGUAUGCCCACGUACUUGUCACGAAUCAUGACCUUCAAUCAUGGGUAUCUACAUUGAGCUUUUUGUGUAGAAAGCUUAUUGUCUUGACCAAUGUAGGAGAAUUCACCAAUAUCAAAAGGUCACUCUCAUAUAAGUGUGAUGGUAAUAUCAUAGAAAGUAGUAGUUAAACUCAAAAGAUAAUGAAAGACUAGGUGUCAAACUUGCAAGAUGGUGUAGAAAGUGCAAGUUUGAGACUAGUCUUUUAUUAUCUUUUGAGUUUGACUACUAGUUUCUAUGACAUUACCCUCAUCCUUAUAUGAGAGUGAACUUUCGAUGCUGGUGAAUUGUUCUACAUUUUGAGACAAUAAGCUUUCUAUCCAAAAAGCUCAAUAUAGAUAGUCAUGAUUGAAUGUCAUGAUAUGUAACAAGUAUGUGGUCAUGCAUGUUAUACACUGCAUUGUUGUGCUUGAUUGAUGGUGAAUCUAAUGAAUUGGGGGAACAUAGGAGCUGGAUCCAACUUGCAACAUGGUUUCUCUGCCUUCAACUUCAACUCAAGCACUCUCCUAUUGUGCCAUGUGGUGGAUUCAAAGGUGUUGGCUUUUGGUUUGCGGGUAAUGGAAUCUAUUUUCAUCUAGAUAACUCUUUUGUUGUUAAACUAUCACUUUGGAAGUGUUUAAUGUGCAGAUAAGUUUAACAAUGCUUAAAAGGUUAACCUUUGAAUCAUUACCCACAAACAAAAAAUCAACAUCUUUGAAGCUUAUGGUGGAAACCAAUCCAAAAACGUCACCAAAUCACAUUGCACAAUUAGAGAGUCCUUGACUUGAAGCCAAAGCAAGAGAAUCCAUGUUUCAAGUUGAUCUGGCUCUUUCCUUCUUCCUCGAGUAAUCAUAAACAAUAUAUCACAACUCAAGCUCAUUGUUCAGAUUCACUGUCAACCUAAUAUAACAAGACAGUGUAUAAAAUGUAUGCCCUCUUGUUACAUAUUAUGCCUUUCGAUCAUUGGUAUCCAUGUCUGCACUAGAGGGUUGUUAGACAAUGGCCAAUGACAGCCACUUUUGCUUGUAUUUAGAAAUUUUAUCAACCAAUAUUUAGUUGGCAUACUAUUUGGUCAAAUUAAUUAAUAUAAUUACAAAGACUUUCUCUCA
Cajanus cajan (pigeon pea) is the source of this 1714-nucleotide long non-coding RNA. RefSeq lists it as uncharacterized. NCBI's taxonomy places the organism in Eukaryota, Viridiplantae, Streptophyta, Magnoliopsida, Fabales, Fabaceae. The record is from RefSeq and is a predicted model, not a curated record.